Molecule: ribosomal RNA, 389 nt
Filed under: uncultured bacterium
Lineage: Bacteria
Description: bacterial SSU rRNA
Rfam family: Bacterial small subunit ribosomal RNA
Source: RNAcentral
GACGAACGCUGGCGGCGUGCUUAACACAUGCAAGUCGAGCGGUAAGGCCCUUUCGGGGGUACACGAGCGGCGAACGGGUGAGUAACACGUGGGUGACCUGCCCUCAGCUCUGGGGAUAAGCCUGGGAAACCGGGUCUAAUACCGGAUAUGACUCCAUGACGCAUGUUGUGGGGUGGAAAGCCUUGUGCGGCUGAGGAUGGGCCCGCGGCCUAUCAGCUUGUUGGUGGGGUGAUGGCCUACCAAGGCGACGACGGGUAGCCGGCCUGAGAGGGCGACCGGCCACACUGGGACUGAGACACGGCCCAGACUCCUACGGGAGGCAGCAGUGGGGAAUCUUGCGCAAUGGGCGAAAGCCUGACGCAGCGACGCCGCGUGAGGGAUGACGGCCU